This 150-nucleotide non-coding RNA is filed under the name bovine gut metagenome. The record is from RNAcentral.
CCUGCUAUUCCAUUAGCAGUAGCCCAACGCCACCAAAGCAUCUGGUAACGGAUGUGAGGAAGCUGACGUGCAAAGUAGCCCCGCCCUAAAGGGUUUAAGUUGAAGCCGUGAGGUGAAAACGAUAAGCUGCAAGCAAUAUGCGGCUGGGGA